GCCUUCGUGGUGUAGUGGUCAGCACGCUCGACGCGUAACCCAGAGGUCCGUGGUUCAAUUCCCGGCGAAGGCG
RNAcentral lists this transfer RNA (73 nucleotides) under Stegodyphus mimosarum. It matches the Rfam family "tRNA". Rfam says of the family: Transfer RNA (tRNA) molecules are approximately 80 nucleotides in length. Their secondary structure includes four short double-helical elements and three loops (D, anti-codon, and T loops). Further hydrogen bonds mediate the characteristic L-shaped molecular structure. tRNAs have two regions of fundamental functional importance: the anti-codon, which is responsible for specific mRNA codon recognition, and the 3' end, to which the tRNAs corresponding amino acid is attached (by aminoacyl-tRNA synthetases). tRNAs cope with the degeneracy of the genetic code in two manners: having more than one tRNA (with a specific anti-codon) for a particular amino acid; and 'wobble' base-pairing, i.e. permitting non-standard base-pairing at the 3rd anti-codon position. The record is from Rfam by way of RNAcentral. Lineage: Eukaryota; Metazoa; Arthropoda; Arachnida; Araneae; Eresidae.